GCCCAGAUAGCUCAGUUGGUAGAGCAGAGGACUGAAAAUCCUCGUGUCGCUGGGUCGAUUCCGGCUCUGGGCA
This 73-nucleotide transfer RNA is filed under the name Lachnospiraceae bacterium AM25-39. Its description in RNAcentral is "tRNA-Phe". It matches the Rfam family "tRNA". Rfam says of the family: Transfer RNA (tRNA) molecules are approximately 80 nucleotides in length. Their secondary structure includes four short double-helical elements and three loops (D, anti-codon, and T loops). The record is from RNAcentral. Lineage: Bacteria; Bacillati; Bacillota; Clostridia; Lachnospirales; Lachnospiraceae.